Molecule: ribosomal RNA, 116 nt
Organism: Erinaceus europaeus (western European hedgehog)
Lineage: Eukaryota; Metazoa; Chordata; Mammalia; Eulipotyphla; Erinaceidae
Source: Ensembl
GUCUAUGGCCAUACCACCCUGAACACGCCCGAUCUCUUCUGAUCUUGGAAGCUAAGCAAGGUCGGGCCUGGUUGGUACUUGGAUGGGAGAAAUUAAGAUGAUUUGGUGGGCAGGCA